CUAGCAUGUGCAAGGUCCUGGGCUUGAUCCCCAGUACCAGCAGGGAAAAAAAACCCUAAGACAGAUGAUUUGGAAAAACACAUCUUUUUCACUUAUUCCAUUUUCACAUCCUCAGAUUUAAGCAUAUAAAAUUGGCCUCAAUUGUUCAUCUGUGAAAAUUCUCAGUUUGAGGCAAUACCACAUAAAUAGCAGCUUUCAGAUCUCUUCCAAAAUGGAGUUCCAGAAGUUCUUUCAUGAACAGACAAGCACCUCUUGGAGAGCCCUAAGGCAAGAUGCCUUCUACAAAGUGGAGUCUCCUUUUGGCAUGAUGGUGAGGCUUGUUUUUCGAAAUCUCAUUUUAAAAUCAUUGUGCGUGGUCCCUAUAGGCUGAAUAUAAUAAACACCCAAGAUCAGGACUUUAUUAAAGAAAUACAUGUUCUUUUCAUCAUCCAGUAACCCCUUGAGUUGUGUUAGGUGAUUGCUCCAAAAUGUCAUAGUUAGAAAGGAGCUGAACAGGCUGGAUGGAGUGGUGCACAUCUGUAAUCCCAGCAACUCUGGAGGCUAAUGCAAGAGGAUUGCAAAUUCAAAGUCAGCCUCAAGCAAUUUAGCAAGGCUCUAAGCAAUUCAGUGAGACCCUGUCUCUAAAUAAAGUACAAAAUAGGGCUGGGGGCGUUGCUCUGUGGUCAGGCCCCUGAGUUUAAUCCCUGAUACCUGGGGAUAUAGCUCAGUUGGUGGAGUGCUUGUCUCCCAUGCACAAGGCCCUGGGUUCAAUCCCCAGCACCACAAAAAAAAAAAAAAAAGGAGCUGAACAAAGAUUCAAACCCAAGCUUUCACUUUCCAAGUUUAUUUAUUCAAUAUUUUAGAAUGAUUCUGGCAAAAACAGCAGUAAACAAAAUCCCUUGUACUUUCUAUUUGCUGAUCCUUCCACCAUUCAUCCUUGAGACCUAAAACCUAAAGGACAAAGGAAGCCAGACUCUUGCUCAUCCUAUCAGUUCCAUUUCUAGGAACUUAAGAAAAACUGGACAUCUCUUCUGUUUGCAUCCCCUUUUAAGAUCUGAUAGGGUGACUAUGAUGUUGCUGUACUGACCUUUGUGAAAAGAUAAUCCUUUCUCUGUGCAAGGACCAAACAAAGGUCACAUUUUUUUAUUUGGGUGUUGUCUUUGAAAUGACACCUAUGUAAAUUAGAAACAAAGGUAAAGCUUGUUUAGCACUUAAACAUUGUCGAAACUUUUCAUUUUCCUAAGGGAAAAGAAUUGUAGAUAUAGGAAGGUAUUCAAUCUUGUUUUCCCAAGAAGGGGUAAGAAAGACCUUUAAGUUGUAGGAAAGUGACAUGCCACUUUUUAUUUAAUUAUCCAGCUUAUCCCCUUCUAAGGUAGUAAGAUUGAUUGAUUGAUUGAUUUUUGAGAAUUGAACCCAGGGCCUUGUGCAUGCAAGGCAAACACUCUAUCAACUGAGCUAUAUCCCCAGCCUGGUAGUAACAUUCUUGAUGUAGCAUGUUGCUUCCUGAAGCCCCUAAUAUAUAAUAGAAAAAGUAUAUCUUUAUUGUGGGAUGUGGCUUUUUUUUUGGUGGUGGUGCUGGGG
This 1560-nucleotide long non-coding RNA is filed under the name Marmota monax (woodchuck). Lineage: Eukaryota; Metazoa; Chordata; Mammalia; Rodentia; Sciuridae. The record is from RNAcentral.